GCAAGUCGAGCGCGCCUUUCGGGGCGAGCGGCGGACGGGUUAGUAACGCGUGGGAAUAUACCCUUCUCUAAGGAAUAGCCUCUGGAAACGGAGAGUAAUACCUUAUACGCCCUUCGGGGGAAAGAUUUAUCGGAGAAGGAUUAGCCCGCGUAAGAUUAGAUAGUUGGUGGGGUAAUGGCCUACCAAGUCUACGAUCUUUAGCUGGUUUGAGAGGAUGAUC
Molecule: ribosomal RNA, 220 nt
Filed under: uncultured bacterium
Lineage: Bacteria
Description: partial 16S ribosomal RNA
Rfam family: Bacterial small subunit ribosomal RNA
Source: RNAcentral